RNAcentral lists this long non-coding RNA (1465 nucleotides) under Homo sapiens (human). RNAcentral describes it as "HSALNT0371090". The record is from RNAcentral. Lineage: Eukaryota; Metazoa; Chordata; Mammalia; Primates; Hominidae.
GAGCCGCAGUGCUUUACGAUGCCGACCACAGUUUGGAAUUAGGGGAUACAGACAUUCUGAUGGCAAGGGUCAGGGAAUCUCCUAGGACACUGGAGGAAUACCAGGCCUGGGGCUAAGCAGCUCGUUUUUCCUUUUUGACACAAAGGAGGGGCUGGAGGCUUCUGAGCCAAGGCUCUGCUGGACUAGGGAUGGUGUUGCCAAUGAAUAGCAUGGAUUGGAAAAGACCAGACUGGAAGUGGGAGCCGGGCAACUAGGGAACUGGAACAAUAGGCCAAGCGGGGGGCCAGCGGUUGGCAACAGGGCCCAUGUGGCCCCAGGCAAUGUGAAGGCGGUCAGUAGGCAGGGAGGUGGGGUGGGAAAGGGAUCAGCUGGGGGAGGUAGGCAGAAAAGGCUCAGGUCCAAGUUCCAGGCCAUGCUAAGGCAACAAGUGUCACAGAGGUCCGUGGUGGGGCCGAGGAUGGACUGCAGACCCUAAAGGCCAAGUCCAACUUCCCUCUAUCGCUCCUCUGGGUGAAGAAUGCAUGUUUCCUCCAGAGUCUCAGAUUAGAUAGACAUCCUUUGACCUUGUCUAUCCAGUUCUGUUUCCCUCUUCUUCCCAUAGGGGUCUCCCUCCCUCCCCGUCCUUAAGUGGGGCGGGCACUUAGCCCAGGGUGGUGAUAUGACCCAGUCCUAUCCAAUCACCAUGGUCCCGCCUCCUGGCUACCACAAUUGGCUCAGGGAUGAGCACGUGGCCCAUAGCAGCCCAGUGAGAGUCAGCCCUGGGUGGGAACUGGUGGGAAAGAAUUCUGCUGGAGCAUCUGGAGUUGCUCAAAUGGAGUGGCUGUGGCCAUCUUUCCUUACACGUGGGGAGGAAUCAGCCUGAGAAUGAAACCAUCACAGGAAAGGGCUGAAAGACGGCAAGUUUUCACUGGGUCUUACCCGACGUGAGCCCCCACUCCUCCAUAUGGACCUGUUUUGGACCAAUGAGGCAUCCUCUUCUGUAGUCCUCAACACGCGGAGCUCCACCACUCCUGAGCAGUGUGACCUCAGGUGCUUGCUGCAGAGGCAUCGGGGGUCUCUGGCCAGAGGUGACAUCUGAAGCAAUCGGGAUCCUGUUUGGUUUUGCCACAUCCGACCUGCCGCCCAGCUGGGGCAAGACAGCCACGCGCGGCGGAUGCACCGGCCCUGAACUCUUUCUCGAGUAGUCCCCAGAGAUUUCAGGAAGAGAGAGAAGAGGUAAAGAGACCAGAAACAAAGUCUUCUGCAAGCAAAGAACUGCAACAGGCCCCAGCUGUUAGGUUUGAGGGGCGUAUGGGGCAGGCGACUGAACUGCAGAGUUGGAGCCAGAGGUACCAUUGCUGACCCCUGAGCCCAGGAGCCUUGAGAAUACUGACAGUGUUAAUAAUAACUGCAAUCAUCCAACAUAUGAUGCUAGAAUAACUGGACAUCUGUGUGCAAAAAUAUUAAACCUAUACCUUGCACCUUA